UACGUAGGUCCCGAGCGUUGUCCGGAUUUAUUGGGCGUAAAGCGAGCGCAGGUGGUUUAAUAAGUCUGAUGUAAAAGGCAGUGGCUCAACCAUUGUGUGCAUUGGAAACUGUUAGACUUGAGUGCAGUAGAGGAGAGUGGAAUUCCAUGUGUAGCGGUGAAAUGCGUAGAUAUAUGGAGGAACACCGGUGGCGAAAGCGGCUCUCUGGCCUGGCCCUGACGCUGAGGCGCGAAAGCGUGGGGAGCAAACGGG
Molecule: ribosomal RNA, 252 nt
Filed under: uncultured microorganism
Description: partial 16S ribosomal RNA
Rfam family: Bacterial small subunit ribosomal RNA
Source: RNAcentral